CCCGUCGCCUAGGACUGUCACCGGCGCCGCUGGGGCCUCAGAGCAGGAACACAGACUAGUCAAUAGAGAUCCUCAGAGGGGAGAGGAACGUCUCUUUCAACCCUGAUCAGUGAGUUUACCUGACCUCCCAGAAACUGACCCCAAAACCGGGUACCGUGGCGUAUGCCUGCCGUCCUCGCACGCAGGAGCUUCAGGCAGAAGAAUCACCGUGAGUUCAAGCUAGCCUAGGAUACAAAGUGAGGCCUGUCUCAGAUUCUAUGGACGGACGGAUGGAUGGUUGCAUGUUCUUCUAGGACUGAAAUUCCACUGCCUGUGUUUGGCUGUGUGGUGGGCAAAGAGCAGCAAGUGAAUUGCUGCAAGCUUGAGGACAAAUCAGCAACAGAACCACUUAACAAUAAAGGGUGUGGUCACACCAAGCGGAUUGUCACA
Myodes glareolus (Bank vole) is the source of this 429-nucleotide non-coding RNA. The record is from RefSeq and is a predicted model, not a curated record. Lineage: Eukaryota; Metazoa; Chordata; Mammalia; Rodentia; Cricetidae.